Molecule: ribosomal RNA, 403 nt
Filed under: uncultured Cellulomonadaceae bacterium
Lineage: Bacteria; Bacillati; Actinomycetota; Actinomycetes; Micrococcales; Cellulomonadaceae
Description: bacterial SSU rRNA
Rfam family: Bacterial small subunit ribosomal RNA
Source: RNAcentral
GGGGAAUAUUGCGCACUGGGGGAAACCCUGACGCAGCAAUACCGCUUGAGUGAAGAAGGUUUUCGGAUCGUAAAGCUCUGUUAUUGGGGAAGAAAAAAAGACGGUACCUGCAGAAGAAGCGCCGGCUAACUACGUGCCAGCAGCCGCGGUAAUACGUAGGGCGCAAGCGUUGUCCGGAAUUAUUGGGCGUAAAGAGCUCGUAGGCGGUUAGUCGCGUCUGCUGUGAAAACUCGAGGCUCAACCUCGGGCGUGCAGUGGGUACGGGCUGACUAGAGUGCGGUAGGGGUGACUGGAAUUCCUGGUGUAGCGGUGGAAUGCGCAGAUAUCAGGAGGAACACCGAUGGCGAAGGCAGGUCACUGGGCCGCAACAGACGCUGAGGAGCGAAAGCAUGGGGAGCGAACA